GAUGAAUGCUGGCGGCGUGCCUAACACAUGCAAGUCGAGCGGUAACAGGUCUAGUUUACUAGAUGCUGACGAGCGGCGGACGGCUGGGUAACGCGUAGGAACGUGCCCCAAAGUGAGGAAUAACUGCCCGAAAGGGUGGCUAAUGCCGCAUAUGAUCUUCGGAUUAAAGUCUUCGGACGCUUUGGGAGCGGCCUGCGUUAGAUUAGGUAGUUGGUAGGGUAAUGGCCUACCAAGCCGACGAUCUAUAGCUGGUCUGAGAGGAUGAUCAGCCAGACUGGGACUGAGACACGGCCCAGACUCCUACGGGAGGCAGCAGUGAGGAAUCUUCCACAAUGGGCGAAAGCCUGAUGGAGCAACGCCGCGUGAAGGAUGAAGGCCUUCGGGUUGUAAACUGCUUUUAUGAGGGAAGAUUAUGACGGUACCUCAUGAAUAAGCCUCGGCUAACUCCGUGCCAGCCGCCGCCGUAA
This 467-nucleotide ribosomal RNA is filed under the name uncultured bacterium. RNAcentral's name for it is "partial 16S ribosomal RNA". It matches the Rfam family "Bacterial small subunit ribosomal RNA", at positions 28 to 523 of the family's 1533-position model. The record is from RNAcentral.